GGAUAAUAUCUAGGAGGAGGAUAAUAUCUAGGAGGAGGAUCAUUUCUAGGAGGAGGAUAAUAUCUAGGUGAGGAGGAUAAUAUCUAGGAGGAGGAUAAUAUCUAGGAGGAGGAUAAUAUCUCGGAGGAGAGGAGGAUAAUAUCUCGGAGAAGAGGAGGAUACUAUCUAGGAGGAGGAUAAUAUCUAGGAGGAGAGAAGGAUAAUAUCUAGGAGGAGAGGAGGAUAAUAUCUAGGAGGAGAGGAGGAUAAUAUUUAGGAGGAGAGGAGGAUAAUAUCUAGGAGGAGAGGAGGAUAAUAUCUAGGAGAAGAGGAGGAUAAUAUCUAGGAGGAGGAUAAUAUCUAGGAGGAGAGGAGGAUAAUAUCUAGGAGGAUGAUACUAUGUAGGAGGAGAGGAGGAUAAUAUCUAGGAGGAGGAUCAUAUCUAGGAGGAGAGGAGGAUAAUAUCUAGGAGGAGUGGAGGAUAAUAUCUAGGAGGAGGAUCAUAUCUAGGAGGAGGAUCAUAUCUAGGAGGAG
Molecule: long non-coding RNA, 513 nt
Filed under: Salmo salar (Atlantic salmon)
Lineage: Eukaryota; Metazoa; Chordata; Actinopteri; Salmoniformes; Salmonidae
Description: lncRNA (ENSSSAG00000085252.1, ENSSSAG00000114171.1)
Source: RNAcentral